RNAcentral lists this ribosomal RNA (832 nucleotides) under Lacticaseibacillus rhamnosus. RNAcentral's name for it is "bacterial SSU rRNA". It matches the Rfam family "Bacterial small subunit ribosomal RNA", at positions 56 to 852 of the family's 1533-position model. Lineage: Bacteria; Bacillati; Bacillota; Bacilli; Lactobacillales; Lactobacillaceae. The record is from RNAcentral.
UGCAGUCGAACGAGUUCUGAUUAUUGAAAGGUGCUUGCAUCUUGAUUUAAUUUUGAACGAGUGGCGGACGGGUGAGUAACACGUGGGUAACCUGCCCUUAAGUGGGGGAUAACAUUUGGAAACAGAUGCUAAUACCGCAUAAAUCCAAGAACCGCAUGGUUCUUGGCUGAAAGAUGGCGUAAGCUAUCGCUUUUGGAUGGACCCGCGGCGUAUUAGCUAGUUGGUGAGGUAACGGCUCACCAAGGCAAUGAUACGUAGCCGAACUGAGAGGUUGAUCGGCCACAUUGGGACUGAGACACGGCCCAAACUCCUACGGGAGGCAGCAGUAGGGAAUCUUCCACAAUGGACGCAAGUCUGAUGGAGCAACGCCGCGUGAGUGAAGAAGGCUUUCGGGUCGUAAAACUCUGUUGUUGGAGAAGAAUGGUCGGCAGAGUNACUGUUGUCGGCGUGACGGUAUCCAACCAGAAAGCCACGGCUAACUACGUGCCAGCAGCCGCGGUAAUACGUAGGUGGCAAGCGUUAUCCGGAUUUAUUGGGCGUAAAGCGAGCGCAGGCGGUUUUUUAAGUCUGAUGUGAAAGCCCUCGGCUUNACCGAGGAAGUGCAUCGGAAACUGGGAAACUUGAGUGCAGAAGAGGACAGUGGAACUCCAUGUGUAGCGGUGAAAUGCGUAGAUAUAUGGAAGAACACCAGUGGCGAAGGCGGCUGUCUGGUCUGUAACUGACGCUGAGGCUCGAAAGCAUGGGUAGCGAACAGGAUUAGAUACCCUGGUAGUCCAUGCCGUAAACGAUGAAUGCUAGGUGUUGGAGGGUUUCCGCCCUUCAGUGCCGCAGC